GCUUAACACAUGCAAGUCGAACGGCAGCACAGGGUAGCUUGCUUAUCCGGGUGGCGAGUGGCGGACGGGUGAGUAACCGCGUAGGAAUCUACCUUUUCGUGGGGGAUAACCGUAGGGAAACUUACGCUAAUACCGCAUGCGACCUUCGGGUGAAAGCGGCGGACCGCAAGGCGUCGCGCGAUUGGAUGAGCCCAUGUCGGAUUAGCUUGUUGGCGGGGUAAUGGCCCACCAAGGCGACGAUCCGUAGCUGGUCUGAGAGGAUGAUCAGCCACACUGGAACUGAGACACGGUCCAGACUCCUACGGGAGGCAGCAGUGGGGAAUAUUGGACAAUGGGCGCAAGCCUGAUCCAGCCAUGCCGCGUGAGUGAAGAAGGCCCUCGGGUUGUAAAGCUCUUUUGUCCGGAAAGAAAAGCUUUCGGCUAAUACCCGGAAGUCCUGACGGUACCGGAAGAAUAAGCACCGGCUAACUUCGUGCCAGCAGCCGCGGUAAUAC
Molecule: ribosomal RNA, 494 nt
Filed under: uncultured Gammaproteobacteria bacterium
Lineage: Bacteria; Pseudomonadati; Pseudomonadota; Gammaproteobacteria
Description: bacterial SSU rRNA
Rfam family: Bacterial small subunit ribosomal RNA
Source: RNAcentral